GAGGGUAUAGCUCAAUAGUAGAGUGUGUGCUUAGCAUGCACAGGGUCCUGGGUUCAACCCCUAAUACCUCCA
This 72-nucleotide transfer RNA is filed under the name Camelus bactrianus (Bactrian camel). It matches the Rfam family "tRNA". Rfam says of the family: Transfer RNA (tRNA) molecules are approximately 80 nucleotides in length. Their secondary structure includes four short double-helical elements and three loops (D, anti-codon, and T loops). Lineage: Eukaryota; Metazoa; Chordata; Mammalia; Artiodactyla; Camelidae. The record is from Rfam by way of RNAcentral. RNAcentral also lists the same sequence under 2 other names.